Molecule: ribosomal RNA, 622 nt
Filed under: Vibrio parahaemolyticus
Lineage: Bacteria; Pseudomonadati; Pseudomonadota; Gammaproteobacteria; Vibrionales; Vibrionaceae
Description: partial 23S ribosomal RNA
Rfam family: Bacterial large subunit ribosomal RNA
Source: RNAcentral
ACGGUUGGACAUCGUGAGGUUAGUGCAAUGGCAUAAGCCCGCUUGACUGCGAGAAUGACAAUUCGAGCAGGUGCGAAAGCAGGUCAUAGUGAUCCGGUGGUUCUGAAUGGAAGGGCCAUCGCUCAACGGAUAAAAGGUACUCCGGGGAUAACAGGCUGAUACCGCCCAAGAGUUCAUAUCGACGGCGGUGUUUGGCACCUCGAUGUCGGCUCAUCACAUCCUGGGGCUGAAGUCGGUCCCAAGGGUAUGGCUGUUCGCCAUUUAAAGUGGUACGCGAGCUGGGUUUAGAACGUCGUGAGACAGUUCGGUCCCUAUCUGCCGUGGGCGUUGGAAGAUUGAAGGGGGCUGCUCCUAGUACGAGAGGACCGGAGUGGACGAACCUCUGGUGUUCGGGUUGUGUCGCCAGACGCAUUGCCCGGUAGCUAAGUUCGGAAUCGAUAACCGCUGAAAGCAUCUAAGCGGGAAGCGAGCCCUGAGAUGAGUCUUCCCUGAUACUUUAAGUAUCCUAAAGGGUUGUCGGAGACUACGACGUUGAUAGGUCAGGUGUGUAAGUGCUGUGAGGCAUUGAGCUAACUGAUACUAAUUGCCCGUGAGGCUUAACCAUACAACACCCAAGGGGUUU